This is a long non-coding RNA of Ipomoea nil (Japanese morning glory), 793 nucleotides long. RefSeq lists it as uncharacterized. The transcript is spliced from 4 exons. The record is from RefSeq and is a predicted model, not a curated record. NCBI's taxonomy places the organism in Eukaryota, Viridiplantae, Streptophyta, Magnoliopsida, Solanales, Convolvulaceae.
CAACACAAACAAAUAUACAUUUGCCUUUUUUUAGAUUUUGGAUGUCUGCUACAACUGCACACGCGUAAGAUGAGAAGGGUGUCGUAGAUUCUAGAAACCACGCCUCCUCUCAUCCAUAAUCUUCCUCAUUUUUGUGCUUCCGCUUUGCCUUCUCCGACACAUUUCGGUAUCGAAAAAGUGAUAUUCGCAGAUUGAUCGAGCAAUCUCAGCUAAUCCAUUUCUCCGAGUUCGAACACGAUCAUUACAUGUGCUACGUUGAAGUCAAAAUUUGGGCGAUCUUAGUAGAUUGACCCAAUCAUUGCAGCAGUGUAUCAUAUAUCUACAAACCCAAAAUCAACCCAGAACGACUACAGACGGAAGACUGGGAGAUCUACGAAAAACUAAUUGUGGAAAGACCGAACUCAUGCAUGUCAGAUCUUGAGUACAGUCAGAUCUGUAAGAUUUGAAACAGAGAGCUGGACAUUCACAGGCUGAGUAACAAUACUUAUGAUAAUGCAUGCUCUAAUGUUUCGAUCUCCACUCACAAUAGGUGGUUCGAGCUCGUAGGUUCGAGAGGGAGAGCUCCGAGUUAGACUAGUUAGAAUGAUGUUGUAGUCUAAACUCGUUUGAUGAAUUGUAGUAAACUUAUGUUUUGAUGGUGUUGAACACCAAGGUUGUAUCCCCUAGAUUCUCGAUUUUAGUUGGACUUGUUUGUUAGUUUUACCCUAGCCUGUGCAAUCACCGUGAAGGGUGUUUGUGGCGGUGACGCUCCCUUAAAGUUAAUUUAUUAAGUUUAUUUCCGCUGUUUAGUUUA